This 467-nucleotide ribosomal RNA is filed under the name uncultured Pseudomonas sp. Its description in RNAcentral is "bacterial SSU rRNA". It matches the Rfam family "Bacterial small subunit ribosomal RNA", at positions 916 to 1382 of the family's 1533-position model. Lineage: Bacteria; Pseudomonadati; Pseudomonadota; Gammaproteobacteria; Pseudomonadales; Pseudomonadaceae. The record is from RNAcentral.
GGGGCCCGCACAAGCGGUGGAGCAUGUGGUUAAUUCGAAGCAACGCGAAGAACCUUACCAGGCCUUGACAUGCAGAGAACUUUCCAGAGAUGGAUUGGUGCCUUCGGGAACUCUGACACAGGUGCUGCAUGGCCGUCGUCAGCUCGUGUCGUGAGAUGUUGGGUUAAGUCCCGUAACGAGCGCAACCCUUGUCCUUAGUUACCAGCACGUUAUGGUGGGCACUCUAAGGAGACUGCCGGUGACAAACCGGAGGAAGGUGGGGAUGACGUCAAGUCAUCAUGGCCCUUACGGCCUGGGCUACACACGUGCUACAAUGGUCGGUACAAAGGGUUGCCAAGCCGCGAGGUGGAGCUAAUCCCAUAAAACCGAUCGUAGUCCGGAUCGCAGUCUGCAACUCGCCUGCAUGAAGUUGGAGCUGCUAGUAAACGCAGGUCAGCCAUACUGCGUUGAAUACGUUCCCGGGGCUU